AACGCGCUCGAGAUUCUGCUUGACGACACUUCCGCUUCAAAAGAUCGAUGCUGAGUCGAGCGGGAGGUCUCGAGUUGGACAUCUCUACCUUAUCCCUGUCUGUUCUGUCUGCCUUGGUGUUGUACCCGCCUGUUACCGACCUUGCCUGCCUGACCACGAUCUGACGCUCGACGAUUCUGAACGUGGCUUUAACAUUGCUCUCACUUCCCCUCAAGCUUUGGAGAAGAGCCUUUCGCACAGCACUGAUGUCUGACUAUUGAAGAUAGUUUUUUGGAAUUGUGACUUUUAAAAAUGUAGUUCUGUAUAUUUUAAUUAGAGUUUUGACUUGUCAUGAAUAGAUUACAAAUGUAUGUAAUAUGAAACAUGUCUAUCUUAUAGAUGCUAAGCAUGCCAUGUUUACUGCCGUCCACCGUGUUUUGAUGUCAUUUUGAUUAGAAACUUUUAACUCCUACCUGGUUGGCUCCCACCUCUGUCAAUCACAUCAGCAGCGCUGCUAAUUGGUUCAAUUAGCUGCUCGUGUUUGUUUGCCCAGUUGCACCGUCGCAGCAAAAGCGAAAGUAAGAAAGUUUCACUAGCAAACUAGUGAGAGAAAGGACUGGUAAGCAAACCAAAUCCGCCUGUCUGGGUGUUAGACGCUACGUUUCACGGAAGGAUUCAACCUGUUGCCGGGGGUGAAGCGUUUUGCCGCUGCUGCAGUGCUAAAGUAGUGCAGCCCAUCAGGUGAGUCGAGGUAGAGGCAGAGACAGAUCCAGAUUGGGAAAAACUUUAUCUUCAUGAGGAUCAGCAACACAGACGUUGAGUAUAUAUGCAUAUGGGUGUGUGGUUUUCCUACAGCAAAAACAAAUACUAAGUAUUAAGAAAUUAUCAAUAAACAAUUAAAGUACAAGACAUGACUGAAGCCUAUUAAUAACAUAUAUGAAAGAUAUUCAACAUGACUUAUAGAAGCUCUAUUACACGGACACAUUGAGAACAAGCAACAGUCUUAGCGGUCGCAGCACCAAUAGUUAGGCUACAUGGCUAAAGGGUUAGUGUUCUAAACAUCCCAAAAACAAUCUACCAUUACCCACUAUAGAUAACUGAAAACUGGCGUCUCUGUACACAAACAUCAACACAAUAACUAUCCAGUAUAAACGACAUUACUUACUUUAUUAGAUGCACACUGCUAAAUACUCAGAAAUGUCCGUGUAAUGCAAAUGUGUCUCUCAAAACAAGUCUCCGCUGACACACGGAAGACAGAUCUAGAGCGCCACCUACUGGCCAAAACAAGAACCAACAGUACUAAACUAAAGUUAAACUACAAUCUUUUGUACAACAACCGAUGAUGUUAACCUACAGGGUACCGGUGGAAAUUGGACUACUGUUGGUCAAAGAAGGAGAGCAGGCAGAAGGGUUUGUAGACAGAGAGAGAGCCUAGAUCUGAGAAUAGGGACUCUUAACAUUGGUGCAAUGACAGGGAAUGUGGUGUGUUCUACCAUGGUGUGUAUAGGAAGAGAAACAAGAAACGGGGUAGAAGUGAUCCUGAAGGGGAGGUUGUGAACAAUGUUCUAGAGGUGAAAAGAGUCUCGUACAGGGCAUGAGCCUAACGUUAGAAAUCGAAGGGAUGAUGGUAAUUGUAGAAGAGAAGGAGAGAUUCUGCAGUGAGGUUGAUAAGGUCAUAGAGAGUAUACCCAGAGGAGAGAGGGUAGUGGUCGCAGCAGACUUCAAUGGGCAUGUUUUUGAGGGGAACAGAGGUGAUGAGGAGAAUGAAGAAAGCUGUGAGGCAGAAGUUGAGGCAGGCUCUGGGUGGUCAGGAAGACCUUCCAGAUGACUGGAAAACUACAGCAGAGGUUAUCAGGGAAACAGGUAGGAAAGUGCUUGGUUUUCUCUUGAAAAAGUCAGUUGGCUUACCAACUAGUUUUGGAUUUUUGGUUUCUAGAUGCCGUCCUAGUUUUGAAAAUUUUAAUGCUUCGCUGGAUAGCUUUAGAGCACAUGUGUCAAGCUCAGAUCCUCAAGGGCCGGUGUGUCAGUUGACUUUUCCAGCUUGUCAUUGACUGAACACACCUGGUCAAGGUUAUCAGUAGGAGCUGGGGCAGGGAGAGGUGAAAAAACAUCAGGGCGGCGGCCCUCGUUGGCAUCAGUUUGACACCCCUGCUUUAUACCAUAUUCAACACCUACACUUUGAGCUCUGGGAUCUGCCUCGCUAUUUCUUUUCAUAAAGCCAAACUUUAUACAAACAGGUUUGUAUUUGCACACCAAUUUAGCCUUGUAUAGAGGUCCGUACUACUGUCACCUUCAUUUGUUCAUUCCUCUCCAUCUUCAGCCAAACGUUUACAGCUGACUUAUUGUGCUGCUGCUUAUUGGAGCGUGUUAACACCUGACUGACACCUCAUUGCCAUCUAGUGAUGGGGAGAUGCAUUGUGGGGGCUUUGCGGCUCACAUUCGCAGAGCUUUCUUUUUCUUUCACUCUGUAUGAUUGUACUUUCAUUUUCCCCUUCCCAGUG
This is a long non-coding RNA of Betta splendens (Siamese fighting fish), 2480 nucleotides long. RefSeq lists it as uncharacterized. NCBI's taxonomy places the organism in Eukaryota, Metazoa, Chordata, Actinopteri, Anabantiformes, Osphronemidae. The transcript has 3 exons. The record is from RefSeq and is a predicted model, not a curated record.